This 344-nucleotide ribosomal RNA is filed under the name uncultured Termitomyces. RNAcentral describes it as "eukaryotic LSU rRNA". Lineage: Eukaryota; Fungi; Basidiomycota; Agaricomycetes; Agaricales; Lyophyllaceae. The record is from RNAcentral.
UGUGAAAUUGUUGAAAGGGAAACGCUUGAAGUCAGUCGCGUUGGCUGGGGAUCAACCUUGCUUCUUGCUUGGCUUACUUCCCAGUUGACGGGUCAGCAUCAGUUUUGACCGGUGGAUAAAGGUCAGGGGAAUGUGGCACCCUCGGGUGUGUUAUAGCCUCUGGUCAUAUACAUUGGUUGGGACUGAGGAACUCAGCACUUGUGCUUAGGAUGCUGGCAUAAUGGUUAAGGGAAUGUGGCACCUCCGGGUGUGUUAUAGCCCUUGGUCAUAUACAUUGGUUGGGACUGAGGAACUCAGCACUUGUGCUUAGGAUGCUGGCAUAAUGGCUUUAAGCGACCCGUCUU